AUGGUUAAGUUAGAAAGGGCGCACGGUGAAUGCCUUGGCACUAGGAGCCGAUGAAGGACGGGACUAACACCGAUAUGCUUCGGGGAGCUGUAAGUGAGCUUUGAUCCGGAGAUUUCCGAAUGGGGAAACCCACUGUUCGUAAUGGAACAGUAUCUUUAUCUGAAUACAUAGGAUAUUGAAGGCAGACCCGGGGAACUGAAACAUCUAAGUACCCGGAGGAAGAGAAAGCAAAUGCGAUUUCCUGAGUAGCGGCGAGCGAAACGGAAUUAGCCCAAACCAAGAGGCUUGCCUCUUGGGGUUGUAGGACACUCUAUACGGAGUUACAAAGGAACGAAGUAAAUGAAGCGACCUGGAAAGGUCCGUCGAAGAAGGUAACAACCCUGUAGUUGAAACUUCGUUCCCUCUUGAGUGGAUCCUGAGUACGGCGGAACACGUGAAAUUCCGUCGGAAGCUGGGAGGACCAUCUCCCAAGGCUAAAUACUACCUAGUGACCGAUAGUGAACCAGUACCGUGAGGGAAAGGUGAAAAGCACCCCGGAAGGGGAGUGAAAGAGAUCCUGAAACCGUGUGCCUACAAGUAGUCAGAGCCCGUUAAUGGGUGAUGGCGUGCCUUUUGUAGAAUGAACCGGCGAGUUACGAUCCCAUGCAAGGUUAAGCUGAUAAGGCGGAGCCGUAGCGAAAGCGAGUCUGAAUAGGGCGUUUAGUAUGUGGUUGUAGACCCGAAACCAGGUGAUCUACCCAUGUCCAGGGUGAAGUUCAGGUAACACUGAAUGGAGGCCCGAACCCACGCACGUUGAAAAGUGCGGGGAUGAGGUGUGGGUAGCGGAGAAAUUCCAAUCGAACCUGGAGAUAGCUGGUUCUCUCCGAAAUAGCUUUAGGGCUAGCCUCAUGUUGUGAGAGUCUUGGAGGUAGAGCACUGAUUGGACUAGGGGCCCCCAACGGGUUACCGAAUUCAGUCAAACUCCGAAUGCCAAAGACUUAUCCAUGGGAGUCAGACUGCGAGUGAUAAGAUCCGUAGUCAAAAGGGAAACAGCCCAGACCACCAGCUAAGGUCCCCAAGUAUACGUUAAGUGGAAAAGGAUGUGGAGUUGCUUAGACAACCAGGAUGUUGGCUUAGAAGCAGCCACCAUUUAAAGAGUGCGUAAUAGCUCACUGGUCGAGUGACUCUGCGCCGAAAAUGUACCGGGGCUAAACGUAUCACCGAAGCUGUGGAUUGACAUCUUAGAUGUCAGUGGUAGGAGAGCGUUCUAAGUGCUGUGAAGUCAGACCGUAAGGACUGGUGGAGCGCUUAGAAGUGAGAAUGCCGGUAUGAGUAGCGAAAGACAAGUGAGAAUCUUGUCCACCGAAUGCCUAAGGUUUCCUGAGGAAGGCUCGUCCGCUCAGGGUUAGUCGGGACCUAAGCCGAGGCUGAAAAGCGUAGGCGAUGGCCAACAGGUUGAUAUUCCUGUACCACCUCCCCGCCGUUUGAGUAAUGGGGGGACGCAGUAGGAUAGGGUAAGCGCGCUGCUGGAUAUGCGCGUUCAAGCAGUUAGGCUGAUGAGUAGGCAAAUCCGCUCAUCAUAAAGGCUGAGCUGUGAUGACGAGGGAAUUAUAGUACCGAAGUUCCUGAUUCCACACUGCCAAGAAAAGCCUCUAGCGAGGCGGGAGGUGCCCGUACCGCAAACCGACACAGGUAGGCGAGGAGAGAAUCCUAAGGUGAUCGAGAGAACUCUCGUUAAGGAACUCGGCAAAAUGACCCCGUAACUUCGGGAGAAGGGGUGCUCUGGUAGGGUGUAUAGCCCGAGAGAGCCGCAGUGAAUAGGCCCAGGCGACUGUUUAGCAAAAACACAGGUCUCUGCGAAGCCGCAAGGCGAAGUAUAGGGGCUGACGCCUGCCCGGUGCUGGAAGGUUAAGAGGAGGGGUUAUCCUUUGGGAGAAGCUCUGAAUCGAAGCCCCAGUAAACGGCGGCCGUAACUAUAACGGUCCUAAGGUAGCGAAAUUCCUUGUCGGGUAAGUUCCGACCCGCACGAAAGGCGUAACGAUCUGGGCACUGUCUCAACGAGAGACUCGGUGAAAUUAUAGUACCUGUGAAGAUGCAGGUUACCCGCGACAGGACAGAAAGACCCCGUGGAGCUUUACUGUAGCCUGAUAUUGAAUUUUGGUACAGCUUGUACAGGAUAGGUAGGAGCCUGAGAAGCCGGAGCGCUAGCUUCGGUGGAGGCGUCGGUGGGAUACUACCCUGGCUGUAUUGAAAUUCUAACCCGCGGCCCUGAUCGGGCCGGGAGACAGUGUCAGGUGGGCAGUUUGACUGGGGCGGUCGCCUCCUAAAAUGUAACGGAGGCGCCCAAAGGUUCCCCUCAGAAUGGUUGGAAAUCAUUCGUAGAGUGUAAAGGCACAAGGGAGCUUGACUGCGAGACCUACAAGUCGAGCAGGGACGAAAGUCGGGCUUAGUGAUCCGGUGGUUCCGCAUGGAAGGGCCAUCGCUCAACGGAUAAAAGCUACCCCGGGGAUAACAGGCUUAUCUCCCCCAAGAGUCCACAUCGACGGGGAGGUUUGGCACCUCGAUGUCGGCUCAUCGCAUCCUGGGGCUGUAGUCGGUCCCAAGGGUUGGGCUGUUCGCCCAUUAAAGCGGUACGCGAGCUGGGUUCAGAACGUCGUGAGACAGUUCGGUCCCUAUCCGUCGUGGGCGUAGGAAAUUUGAGAGGAGCUGUCCUUAGUACGAGAGGACCGGGAUGGACACACCGCUGGUGUACCAGUUGUCUUGCCAAAGGCAUCGCUGGGUAGCUAUGUGUGGACGGGAUAAGUGCUGAAAGCAUCUAAGCAUGAAGCCCCCCUCAAGAUGAGAUUUCCCAUAGCGCAAGCUAGUAAGAUCCCUGAAAGAUGAUCAGGUUGAUAGGUCAGAGGUGGAAGCGUGGCGACAUGUGUAGCUGACUGAUACUAAUCGAUCGAGGACUUAACCAAA
RNAcentral lists this ribosomal RNA (2940 nucleotides) under Priestia megaterium. RNAcentral's name for it is "23S ribosomal RNA". It matches the Rfam family "Bacterial large subunit ribosomal RNA". Lineage: Bacteria; Bacillati; Bacillota; Bacilli; Caryophanales; Bacillaceae. The record is from RNAcentral.